RNAcentral lists this ribosomal RNA (450 nucleotides) under uncultured bacterium. RNAcentral describes it as "partial 16S ribosomal RNA". It matches the Rfam family "Bacterial small subunit ribosomal RNA", at positions 338 to 795 of the family's 1533-position model. The record is from RNAcentral.
CCUACGGGGGGCUGCAGUGAGGAAUAUUGCGCAAUGGGGGAAACCCUGACGCAGCAACGCCGCGUGAGUGAGGAAGGUUUUCGGACCGUAAAGCUCUGUCGAGCGGGAAGAAGUGCAUGGUGGCUAAUAUCCAUUAUGCUUGACGGUACCGCUAAAGGAAGCCCCGGCUAACUCCGUGCCAGCAGCCGCGGUAAUACGGGGGGUGCCAUCGUGGGUCGGGAUCAUUGGGCCGGCAGAGCGUGUAAGAUGCGAAAGCCCUGGGCUUAACCUAGGAAGUGCAUUUGAAACUGUUCAGCUUGAGUAAGGGAGAGGAAAGUGGAAUUCCUGGUGUAGAGGUGAAAUUCGUAGAUAUCAGGAGGAACACCGGUGGCGAAGGCGACUUUCUGGCCCUAUACUGACGCUGAGACGCGAGAGCGUGGGUAGCAAACAGGAUUAGAUACCCGAGUAGUC